AUGGCGACCGGCGCACGGGUGAGUAACGCGUAUCCAACCUGCCCUUUACUAUGGGACAGCCCGUCGAAAGGCGGAUUAAUACCGUAUGUUGUCAUGUUGAUGCAUAUUUUCAUGACCAAAGGCUUCGGCCGGUAAAGGAUGGGGAUGCGUCUGAUUAGCUUGCCGGCGGGGUAACGGCCCACCGGGGCGACGAUCAGUAGGGGUCCUGAGAGGAAGGUCCCCCACAUUGGAACUGAGACACGGUCCAAACUCCUACGGGAGGCAGCAG
This 268-nucleotide ribosomal RNA is filed under the name uncultured bacterium. RNAcentral's name for it is "partial 16S ribosomal RNA". It matches the Rfam family "Bacterial small subunit ribosomal RNA", at positions 88 to 354 of the family's 1533-position model. The record is from RNAcentral.